UGCAACAUUACUUGGUGAUCCU
RNAcentral lists this unclassified non-coding RNA (22 nucleotides) under Dictyostelium discoideum. The record is from RNAcentral. Lineage: Eukaryota; Evosea; Eumycetozoa; Dictyosteliales; Dictyosteliaceae.